Molecule: unclassified non-coding RNA, 364 nt
Filed under: uncultured bacterium
Lineage: Bacteria
Description: contains 16S-23S intergenic spacer region
Source: RNAcentral
UCCCGGUUGGCCCGGGCGGUCUCGUCUGAAAAAUACAACAGACGAUAAGGGUUGCGCUCGUUGCGGGACUUAACCCAACAUCUCACGACACGAGCUGACGACGGCCAUGCAACACCUGUCACUGCGUUCCCGAAGGCACUCCACUAUUUCUAGCGGAUUCGCAGGAUGUCAAGCCUCGGUAAGGUUCUUCGCGUAGCUUCGAAUUAAACCACAUGCUCCACUGCUUGUGCGGAUCCCCGUCAAUUCCUUUGAGUUUUAAGCUUGCGCUCGUACUCCCCAGGCGGGAUGCUUAACGCGUUAGCUUCUCAGCACAGAGGGUCGAUACUCCAUACUAAUAGCAUCCAUCGUUUACGGCGUGGACUAC